GACGAACGCUGGCGGCGUGCUUAACACAUGCAAGUCGAACGGUAAGGCCCUUCGGGGUACACGAGUGGCGAACGGGUGAGUAACGCGUGGGUGAUCUGCCCUGCACUUCGGGAUAAGCCUGGGAAACUGGGUCUAAUACCGGAUAGGACCCUGGGAUGCAUGUCCUGGGGUGGAAAGCUUUUGCGGUGUGGGAUGGGCCCGCGGCCUAUCAGCUUGUUGGUGGGGUGAUGGCCUACCAAGGCGACGACGGGUAGCCGGCCUGGGAGGGUGACCGGCCACACUGGGACUGAGAUACGGCCCAGACUCCUACGGGAGGCAGCAGUGGGGAAUAUUGCACAAUGGGCGCAAGCCUGAUGCAGCGACGCCGCGUGAGGGAUGACGGCCUUCGGGUUGUAAACCUCUUUCAGCACAGACGAAGCGCAAGUGACGGUAUGUGCAGAAGAAGGACCGGCCAACUACGUGCCAGCCGCCGCUGUAA
This 478-nucleotide ribosomal RNA is filed under the name uncultured bacterium. Its description in RNAcentral is "partial 16S ribosomal RNA". It matches the Rfam family "Bacterial small subunit ribosomal RNA", at positions 28 to 523 of the family's 1533-position model. The record is from RNAcentral.